GACGAACGCUGGCGGCGUGCCUAAUACAUGCAAGUUGAGCGCUGAAGGUUGGUACUUGUCCCGACUGGAUGAGCAGCGAACGGGUGAGUAACGCGUGGGGAAUCUGCCUUUGAGCGGGGGACAACAUUUGGAAACGAAUGCUAAUACCGCAUAAAAACUUUAAACACAAGUUUUAAGUUUGAAAGAUGCAAUUGCAUCACUCAAAGAUGAUCCCGCGUUGUAUUAGCUAGUUGGUGAGGUAAAGGCUCACCAAGGCGAUGAUACAUAGCCGACCUGAGAGGGUGAUCGGCCACAUUGGGACUGAGACACGGCCCAAACGCCUACGGGAGGCAGCAGUAGGGAAUCUUCGGCAAUGGACGAAAGUCUGACCGAGCAACGCCGCGUGAGUGAAGAAGGGUUUCGGAUCGUAAAACUCUGUUGGUAGAGAAGAACGUUGGUGAGAGUGGAAAGCUCAUCAAGUGACGGUAACUACCCAGAAAGGGACGGCUAACUACGUG
Molecule: ribosomal RNA, 497 nt
Filed under: uncultured bacterium
Lineage: Bacteria
Description: partial 16S ribosomal RNA
Rfam family: Bacterial small subunit ribosomal RNA
Source: RNAcentral